RNAcentral lists this ribosomal RNA (326 nucleotides) under uncultured bacterium. RNAcentral describes it as "bacterial SSU rRNA". It matches the Rfam family "Bacterial small subunit ribosomal RNA", at positions 28 to 334 of the family's 1533-position model. The record is from RNAcentral.
GACGAACGCUGGCGGCGUGCCUAACACAUGCAAGUCGAACGAAGCUCUCCGAUACAAGGCUUCGGCCAAGUUGAAGGGAUGACUUAGUGGCGGACGGGUGAGUAACGCGUGAGGAACCUGCCUUUCAGUGGGGGACAACAGCUGGAAACGGCUGCUAAUACCGCAUAAUGUUUCUGGACCGCAUGAUCUGGAAACCAAAGCUUUAUGUGCUGAAAGAUGGCCUCGCGUCUGAUUAGAUAGUUGGUGAGGUAACGGCCCACCAAGUCUACGAUCAGUAGCCGGACUGAGAGGUUGAACGGCCACAUUGGGACUGAGAUACGGCCCAG